UCUAUAUAAAGCACUCGAGCAAAAUCCAACCCCAUCGUUUCGACGUAUGCAUUGGCAAUAGCGCUCUGCAAAUGCUACUCGUACUUCAAUAGGAUUUCGACUAGAUUGUCGCAUGGAAGAAAUUGGUAACUAAUAUCUUUGUUGAAUUCUAAACCUCUAUUGCGAUGACCGAGUAUGUUUCUUUCUCUUCUACACAAUUUCCUGAUCCAUACUGUUUUUCUCUCUCACCCUAGAUUUUUGCUUCUUUGUUGUUCUUUUUCGUGAUUCUUCGUUGCUUCGCUUCGUUUCUUCAUGUUCGCAGGUUCUCAACUUUAUGAUAUAUACUGUAAAUCAAUUGCAGCUAGCCUGACCUUGGGUUUCCAUUUAAUCGAAGGAAUAUCAUCAUGGUCCAAUCGUUAGGUUAAAAUUUUGAGUAAAUUUUAAAAAUCGAAUUUCAUUUUUAUGUUUCCUUAUAAAAGUAAAUCAAUUGCAGCUAGCCUGACCUUGGGUUUCCAUUUAAUCGAAGGAAUAUCAUCAUGGCCCAAUCGUUUAAAGGUUAAAAUUUUAGGGAUGAUGUUGCUGUGAUUAAUUUCACUCUUCAAAGAAUGUAAUUUCAAAGAGCGGCAUCCAUUAAGAAGAAUAUCCUUUCUACUGAUGGUCAUUCAUAGUCAUAGAGUUCCCAAGGCCAGGGUUGAUAAUUCAGUGUAUAUGGUUAAACUAAAUAUAUAUCUUAUUAUCAAUGCAUCCCAUGUUCUGAUAAGAAGGCUCCAUUGUCUUAUUAUAUGGUUAUUAAAUAAUUAAGUGUAUAUGGUUGAACUAAAUAUAUAUCUUAAAUAGUGUAUAUGUUUAAACUAAAUAUAAUAUAUAUCUUAUUAUCAUGCAUGCAGUUACCAAUAAAUUUAACUAGCCAGGAUUCCCAGGAUUGAUGUUCAUCUUAAGUUUUCUUUGAAUCAAGAAAAAUAGCUGAGUUGGGGUGUUUUAUAAAGAAAUCAUUGCUCGAAAAUGGGUCUUGAAAUGAAUGUGGUUUGAAAGGUAGUAAAGAAUUUUGGAUGCUUGAAGACUACUGAGAGUAACUCCAAAAUUAUAGUUAAGUUUUGAUUGUUUGGAUGCUUCUGAAUUAAGUUGUUGUUUGGUUACUUCUAGAAUAAACUCAACUUGAAAUUUAACAUCAAAUUAGCUAGAGUUGUUUCCUUAAACCAUUUAAGGCUGGACUCGCAUCGUAUGAGGCAUUUUUCUUUAAUACUAGGAGGUACAUUUAAGAUUUGUGCUUUCUUAUAUUAUUUUUAUUACAUCGGUCUUUGAUAUGCAUUCCAAAUUAGACGCAACACUAUCAAAAUGUAUAACUGCAGAUGGAGAAUAUGACGUUUAACUGCAGAGGUAGAAAAUGACGUCCCUAGAUGAACUUGGUUAGCAUUUGUACAUCUAAGGUUCACGUCAUUGUAAAACAUAUCAUGUGAGAAAUGUGUCAAUGCUAACCAAUUCAAUCUAGGAAACUAAAAAUACUAUUAUUCCAGUUUGUUAUGUUGCUCGGGUAGCUAGCUUCAAGUCAAGGUAAACAUAGUCAUGUUGUUUGUAUAUGGUAGUCAUGCAUGUAGGUCUGAUGCUAUUGAAGAUUUGGUCUCACCAUUUGAUGCAUAGAUAUCAUAUCUCUUAUCAAACUAAGAGGAAUUCAUAUCUGUAUGACUUGAUUUGUGAUUUUUUGUAGUGGAGAUGCGGAAGUCAUUGAGGAUAUCGGUAAAUAAACCGAAAAUGAUGGAUUCAUUUUCCUGUUCAUAUAAGCACUCGGCAUUUUUUUAAAACUUUAAGGUAAACUUUGAAUUUAUUUCUACCGAAUUGCAAUGGGGAUGUUUAUAGACUUGUAAUGCCUUCAUAUGUUAUGUUCAUUAUACUCCAAAUUUCAGGGCUUUUCACCUGAGGUAGUAACUGGAAAACCUAUUGUAAGUAUCUUUUCAUCAGAAAUAACAAAAUUUAUACUUUGUCAUUAUUUAGCGCAACUUUGAUAAGUGCCCGUAGGAAAUUUUCUUAAAUCACCAUUGGUAGGACUAGCACAAUGCAUAAUUUAUGCAUUGGUAAAACCUACAUCUGAUAUGCAUACAAUUGCAGAUGUGUAUAUAAGGACGAGGUCUAUCAACACUCAAACAAACAUUCUUUGUGAGUACUUCAGAGAACAACUAGGAUUUUUCUUGGAAUUAAGUACAUACAUAAUGCAUCUCUUAAAUUUUAAACCACUUAAGAUUACAAUACUUCUAUACUGAAUCUAAGGCAAUGGUUUAUACACAAUUCAAAUAGAGAAAGUUCCUUUAGGUGCUCUGUGAUUAAUGUAGAAGGCAGUUUGAGGCUUUAUUUUUUGGUUAUAUAUACUUGCUAUAAAUGAAUAUGAUGUUAGUACCCUUAGCUUGACAGUGGAUGCACAAGUUCAAAAUGUUUUUUUUUUCAACGAAAGAAGGGUGUUCUUGCUUAUUUUUAUCAGGAUCCGGCAGUACCCUUAGCUUGACAUUGGAUGCACAGGUUCAAAAUGCAUUUUUUUUUAGCUAAUAUUAAUAAGAUUUUUAUUAAAGGGAGAGCAAAAAGAGAUCCGAGGAGAGCAAAAACUGUAGUCUACUCAUUAACUAGGAAAGAUUGCGAGCCGGACUUAAUUACCCUGCGAUCACACAAAUUUCUCACACACAUCGAGCAUCACCUCUCAUCGUCUUCUCAAAAAUCCUAACAUGUAAAUAACACCAUUACUGAAAACCAGUUCAAAAUAGAAUAUCCUGCAAAUUAAUCUACGUAAAAAUAUUAGUCGUGAUAGUUGUCGAUUUAAGGAUUGCUAGUGCACAAACAAUCAUAAUCAAUUUUCUAGUAUUUGCCAUUGUUAAGAAAAUUACUGUCCAUGGUAUGAUGAGCAUUUAUCUUUUUUUCGUUUGGUAGUGGAAUUCAGCCGGAGCUCACAAGCACGUUCCUACCAACCCAUUUGUACAUGUAUCAUCUGGUGAUAUAUGAAUUCUCUAUCUGUUAACACGGGUUAUUCAUUUGUUUUUGGAUGCUUUUGUGGAUUUAAUUUCUAUAUGCUUGUCAACAGUUUUGUCUUACUUGUUAUCACAUUGCCAAGACCCAAAUUCCCCUCCAUUAAUGGAAGUUUAAGUUGUCGUAACUGUGGUUAGCUAGGGUUGGGAAGAAGAACAAGACGCAGAAGAUUAGGUUUCAUUUCGAUGAUGAAUCGGUAGGCAUGUGAACAAUUCAUGUGGUUAGAAAGGGUAUUUUGGUCCGAGUCGAUGAUAUAUAUAUAACCGGCCGUGACUGGUGAGUCGACUACGAUUUUUGCUCUCCUCAGAUCUCUUUUUGCUCUCCCUUUAACAAAAAUCAUUAAUAAUGGCGACAAAAGGGCAUUCUUGCUUAUUUGUAUCAGGAUCCAACAAUCUUGAUGUAUCUUAAUUCAUAUACUUGAGUUGAUUAUUAAAUUCUUGUGAUAAUUUUCAAAAGAAAAAGCUUCAACUAAAUCUCAUGUUAAGCAUAAUGCAUUUUAACAGUCGCAUCAAAUUAAAUUGUAACAAUGUAGCCUUGAACUUCAUGGUAUUCAUGUUUA
Long non-coding RNA from Papaver somniferum (opium poppy), 3544 nucleotides. RefSeq lists it as uncharacterized. The transcript has 3 exons. NCBI's taxonomy places the organism in Eukaryota, Viridiplantae, Streptophyta, Magnoliopsida, Ranunculales, Papaveraceae. The record is from RefSeq and is a predicted model, not a curated record.